AAGUCGUAACAAGGUUUCCGUAGGUGAACCUGCGGAAGGAUCAUUAUCGAAUUAUAAGCGAGGGUUGUCGCUGGCCUCUCGGGGCAUGUGCACGCCCGAGCCGUUAAUCCAAACUUUACACCUGUGAACUUACCGCGUAGGGCCUUCCUUUGCCGGAGGCGUCCUAUGUCCUUCAUAAACACCGCAUGUCAAUAGAAUGUAAUCGAUAUCUUCGCCCUAAAAAAGCGUCGGUAAAACUUAUACAACUUUCAACAACGGAUCUCUUGGCUCUC
RNAcentral lists this unclassified non-coding RNA (272 nucleotides) under air metagenome. RNAcentral's name for it is "partial contains small subunit ribosomal RNA, internal transcribed spacer 1, and 5.8S ribosomal RNA". The stretch from base 1 to 46 matches the Rfam family "Eukaryotic small subunit ribosomal RNA", at positions 1786 to 1831 of the family's 1831-position model. The record is from RNAcentral.